UACGUAGGUGGCAAGCGUUGUCCGGAUUUACUGGGCGUAAAGAGCGCGCAGGCGGUCGUUCAAGUCGCGUGUGAAAGCCCCCGGCUCAACUGGGGAGGGUCACGCGAUACUGAUCGACUCGAAGGCAGGAGAGGGUAGUGGAAUUCCCGGUGUAGUGGUGAAAUGCGUAGAUAUCGGGAGGAACACCAGUGGCGAAGGCGAGAUGCUGGACCCUUUCUGACGCUGAGGCGCGAAAGCCAGGGGAGCGAACGGG
RNAcentral lists this ribosomal RNA (253 nucleotides) under uncultured bacterium. RNAcentral describes it as "partial 16S ribosomal RNA". It matches the Rfam family "Bacterial small subunit ribosomal RNA", at positions 524 to 776 of the family's 1533-position model. The record is from RNAcentral.